Molecule: non-coding RNA, 85 nt
Organism: Lentinula aciculospora
Lineage: Eukaryota; Fungi; Basidiomycota; Agaricomycetes; Agaricales; Omphalotaceae
Source: the annotation of a GenBank genome assembly
GGCCGGCUAGCUCAGUUGGUUAGAGCGUCGUGCUAAUAUGCCAUAUUAAACGCGAAGGUCUUGGGUUCGAUCCCCACGUUGGCCA